AGUGAACGCUGGCGGUAGGCCUAACACAUGCAAGUCGAACGGCAGCACAGUAAGAGCUUGCUCUUACGGGUGGCGAGUGGCGGACGGGUGAGGAAUACAUCGGAAUCUACUUUUUCGUGGGGGAUAACGUAGGGAAACUUACGCUAAUACCGCAUACGACCUACGGGUGAACGCAGGGGAUCUUCGGACCUUGCGCGAUUGAAUGAGCCGAUGUCGGAUUAGCUAGUUGGCGGGGUAAAGGCCCACCAAGGCGACGAUCCGUAGCUGGUCUGAGAGGAUGAUCAGCCACACUGGAACUGAGACACGGUCCAGACUCCUACGGGAGGCAGCAGUGGGGAAUAUUGGACAAAGGGCGCAAGCCUGAUCCAGCCAUACCGCGUGGGUGAAGAAGGCCUUCGGGUUGUAAAGCCCUUUUGUUGGGAAAGAAAAGCAGCAGGUUAAUACCCCGCUGUUCUGACGGUACCAAAAGAAUAAGCACCGGCUAACUUCGUG
Molecule: ribosomal RNA, 492 nt
Filed under: uncultured bacterium
Lineage: Bacteria
Description: partial 16S ribosomal RNA
Rfam family: Bacterial small subunit ribosomal RNA
Source: RNAcentral